GUGGGGAAUAUUGGACAAUGGGGGGAACCCUGAUCCAGCCAUGCCGCGUGUGUGAAGAAGGCCUUUUGGUUGUAAAGCACUUUAAGCGAGGAGGAGGCUACCAAGAUUAAUACUCUUGGAUAGUGGACGUUACUCGCAGAAUAAGCACCGGCUAACUCUGUGCCAGCAGCCGCGGUAAUACAGAGGGUGCAAGCGUUAAUCGGAUUUACUGGGCGUAAAGCGCGCGUAGGUGGCCAAUUAAGUCAAAUGUGAAAUCCCCGAGCUUAACUUGGGAAUUGCAUUCGAUACUGGUUGGCUAGAGUAUGGGAGAGGAUGGUAGAAUUCCAGGUGUAGCGGUGAAAUGCGUAGAGAUCUGGAGGAAUACCGAUGGCGAAGGCAGCCAUCUGGCCUAAUACUGACACUGAGGUGCGAAAGCAUGGGGAGCAAACAGGAUUAGAAACCCCAGUAGUCC
This 451-nucleotide ribosomal RNA is filed under the name uncultured bacterium. RNAcentral describes it as "partial 16S ribosomal RNA". It matches the Rfam family "Bacterial small subunit ribosomal RNA", at positions 354 to 796 of the family's 1533-position model. The record is from RNAcentral.